UGGGGAAUAUUGGACAAUGGGGGGAACCCUGAUCCAGCCAUGCCGCGUGUGUGAAGAAGGCCUUUUGGUUGUAAAGCACUUUAAGCGAGGAGGAGGCUACUAGUACUAAUACUACUGGAUAGUGGACGUUACUCGCAGAAUAAGCACCGGCUAACUCUGUGCCAGCAGCCGCGGUAAUACAGAGGGUGCGAGCGUUAAUCGGAUUUACUGGGCGUAAAGCGUGCGUAGGCGGCUGAUUAAGUCGGAUGUGAAAUCCCUGAGCUUAACUUAGGAAUUGCAUUCGAUACUGGUCAGCUAGAGUAUGGGAGAGGAUGGUAGAAUUCCAGGUGUAGCGGUGAAAUGCGUAGAGAUCUGGAGGAAUACCGAUGGCGAAGGCAGCCAUCUGGCCUAAUACUGACGCUGAGGUACGAAAGCAUGGGGAGCAAACAGG
Molecule: ribosomal RNA, 430 nt
Filed under: Pseudomonadota bacterium
Lineage: Bacteria; Pseudomonadati; Pseudomonadota
Also listed under: 1 other name
Description: Proteobacteria bacterium partial 16S ribosomal RNA
Rfam family: Bacterial small subunit ribosomal RNA
Source: RNAcentral